RNAcentral lists this ribosomal RNA (253 nucleotides) under uncultured bacterium. Its description in RNAcentral is "partial 16S ribosomal RNA". It matches the Rfam family "Bacterial small subunit ribosomal RNA", at positions 524 to 776 of the family's 1533-position model. The record is from RNAcentral.
UACGAAGGGGGCUAGCGUUGCUCGGAAUCACUGGGCGUAAAGCGCACGUAGGCGGACUCUUAAGUCGGUGGUGAAAUCCUGGAGCUCAACUCCAGAACUGCCUUCGAUACUGGGAGUCUCGAGUUCGGGAGAGGUGAGUGGAACUGCGAGUGUAGAGGUGAAAUUCGUAGAUAUUCGCAAGAACACCAGUGGCGAAGGCGGCUGACUGGUCCGGUUCUGACGCUGAGGCACGAAAGCGUGGGGAGCAAACAGG